Molecule: ribosomal RNA, 837 nt
Filed under: Triticum aestivum (bread wheat)
Lineage: Eukaryota; Viridiplantae; Streptophyta; Magnoliopsida; Poales; Poaceae
Description: partial small subunit ribosomal RNA
Source: RNAcentral
AUGGUGCGUGAGACUUGGUCGGCUACUUCUUCCUCUAUCUCUUCUGUAGAUAACUGGUUAUCUAAAACCAGACUGCUUAGGAAGAAGACAAAAGGCCGGGCCAUUAAUAUUGAGGCUGCUUUAAGGAAAAAGAAAAAAUCCCUCCUUAUGGAGUUUGACCUGCUUGACGUUCUAUCUGAAUCCCAGCAGUUGUCUGCUGCUGAUCAUGAUAGAAUGAAAGCUGUGAAAACAGAAUUGGAAGAGAUUUGGAAAAAAGAGGAAACGGCCUUGUGGCAAAAAUCUAGAGACAGAAAAAUUCUUGAAGGGGACCGUAACAAUGCCUAUUUUCAAGCCCUAGCUAAUCACAGGCAUAGGAAAAACCAUCUUUCUGAACUAGUGGGCCCUUCUGGACCUGUGACUUCCACUGAAAACAUGAUGGGAGUAGCUACUGAAUUCUACAAAAAUUUAUUUGCCUAUGAACCUAAACCAGAUUUGCACUUAGGAACUGGUUUUUGGUCUGAGAUAGAAAUGAUUAGUGAGGAUGAGCAGAGAGACUUAGAGAGAUCCUUUUCUGAGGAAGAGAUCAAAGAAGCAAUUAUGAGCUCGUAUGCCAGUGGGGCUCCUGGUCCUGAUGGGCUGUAUUUCCUUUUUUAUCAAAAAAUUUGGGAUCUAAUUAAAAAUGACUUUAUAUGGAUGGUCAGGGAUUUUGAAAAUGGGGAUUUGGACAUCUAUAAGCUUAAUUAUGCCAUCAUCACCCUUAUCCCUAAAAUUCCCCAGGCUAGAGAGAUGAAAAACUUCAGACCUAUUAGUCUUAGUAACUGUGCUGUAAAAAAAAUUCUCCAAGGCCAUGAAUACUAG